This 1027-nucleotide long non-coding RNA is filed under the name Monodelphis domestica (gray short-tailed opossum). RNAcentral's name for it is "lncRNA (ENSMODG00000044352.1)". Lineage: Eukaryota; Metazoa; Chordata; Mammalia; Didelphimorphia; Didelphidae. The record is from RNAcentral.
GCCUCGCGCCCUCCCUCCUCCUUUCUCCCCAUACACACGCAGCCCUAAGCCCGAGCCUUUACAGGGCUCACCAGCUGCGGACCCACUGCGCCGGCAGAUCAAGGGGCGCUCACAGGUCUCUCUUCUCCGCCUUUCCACGUUAGACUAACCUGUUCAGCCUGGGGCCGUGCUAGCCAGAGGAGCUGUUACCUCCCCUAGGCUCCGUGCUAGCCGAAGGGAUCAUUACCUCCCCUGGGCUCAGAGCUAGCCGCAAGGGCCGGUACCUCCCCGACUCAGGCUUUCUCUUCCUGUGUCCCCGCCCAGCUUCCUAAACCUCCUCUUACCUCUAGCCCCGGUCUUACAGCUGCGCGUGCGCUUCCCCUCCACACACAUACAGUCCCACCCCCAACCUCCCAGCCGGUGGGAUUAUUCCAUUCCCGAUCCGAAAAUUGGGGGUUUGGGGGGGAGAGGAAUACUGGUCAUUAACAUGAAACUAUUCCUGCCUAGGGGAGGUGUGUAGGCGAGGGAGAUUUUUUUUUCCCCCUCAGCACCAGACUAUUCCAUUCUCGCCCGCAGAAGGUGUAUGGGCAGGAGAGGUUUUUCAGUAGCAGACGAUUCCAUUCCCGACUGAUAAGAGGGAGUGUAAGAAAAAAAAAAAAGAGUUCUUCGCACAAGACUAUUCCAUUCUUGCCGGCUUGCAGGGAUUUGGGGAAAAAUGUAUUUAUUUGUCUUCAGCUCCGGACAAUUCUGUUCUGGACGAAGGCAGGCGUGUUAUUCAAGCCUGAUUGGGCAUCCGCACGAGACGCCAUGAAAUGGGAGGCACGAGGAACCUGCGAGCAGUUGGAGACAUCGCUGAGCGGCGUCCUCCUUUAAAACUCGGACCUCGUUGCCUCUGGAACCCGUGUUGUCCUGUUUUUUGGCUACCCUGCUGAGACAUCGCCAUGUCUUCCCACAAGACUUUCAGAAUCAAGAGGUUCCUUGCAAAGAAACAGAAACAAAAUCGUCCGAUUCCUCAGUGGAUUCGCAUGAAAACUGGCAAUAAGAUCAG